GCCAGGCAUGGAGGUGUGUGUGCCUGUAAUUUCAGCUGCUCAGAGGCUGAGGCAGGAGGAUUGUGAGUUUUAGGCCGGCCUGGGAAACCUAGCAAGACUCUUGUCUUAA
Molecule: small RNA, 109 nt
Filed under: Marmota monax (woodchuck)
Lineage: Eukaryota; Metazoa; Chordata; Mammalia; Rodentia; Sciuridae
Source: RNAcentral